CAGCUAGAGUUCCUCGAUGGUUCAUGUGGCCUUAACCGCCGCUGGGCUCCCUGCGCCCACGCCUCAAUUCUUCUACCUCUUCUCAGGCCUUCUACCCCCCGCCGGUGCCGCCUCCUCGCGAGAUCCCGGACAUGAUCUUGAGGUUUGACCCUGAAUGCUUGGGUCUAGGUAGCUGAAGAUUCUUAGGUCCGUGGUGACAGUGAUUGUUAGGUCCGUGGUGACAGUGAGCAUCAUUGGUCAACAAGGUUUCAGUGGGUGUGC
Triticum dicoccoides is the source of this 261-nucleotide long non-coding RNA. RefSeq lists it as uncharacterized. NCBI's taxonomy places the organism in Eukaryota, Viridiplantae, Streptophyta, Magnoliopsida, Poales, Poaceae. The record is from RefSeq and is a predicted model, not a curated record. The transcript is spliced from 3 exons.